RNAcentral lists this transfer RNA (65 nucleotides) under Systolederus spicupennis. Its description in RNAcentral is "tRNA-Leu". The record is from RNAcentral. Lineage: Eukaryota; Metazoa; Arthropoda; Insecta; Orthoptera; Tetrigidae.
AACUAUUUUGGCAGAUUAUUGUGUUAGACUUAGGAUCUAUUUAUGUAAUUUUAUUACAAGUAGUA